AUUAUACACACUAUUUCAGUCCUAUAUGUCUACUCUCAGCUUUAAUUUAUGGAUUUCUAUAAAAAAGCUUUCCCUUUGAAGAGAACCUUUGUUUAUAUAUGAGUGCCUAAACCUGUUUCAUUCUGUCUGUCCCCUGAAGGAAAAUACCUCCAGUUCACAAAUACUGUAGAACUGAGAGUGCCCCUCCAUUCCUUUUCUCUGCAGACCCCAUGGGAAGCCCACUGAGUUGGACGUCUGGAAAUUGAUUUCACCCUCCAUGGCUAUGCAAACCACCUGUGGUGCCCUUUGAUGGCAGAUGAGUUUUAAGAGAAUCCCAAAGAGAAUUUUCACUGGCAAGGCAAAACACCUUGUUUCUAUCUGAUAGAGAAGCUUGUGGAGCUUACAGGAGAAAUGGCUUAAGAAGAUUUAAAGUCAGAAGGAAACAACUACACAAGACCAAGGGAAUCUUGCAGCUGUCCAGUUGGAAACAAAUUGUAUGUAAAGACUACCUCAACUAAAAGCCACAGAACAGAUUUUCCUCACUAUUUGACUAUAGGAGGAAAACAGACCUUUAUGGAGCUAAAGAAUCUUGAGAGAGAUGGGAAAUUGACUCUAAGCACCAUCCAUAAAUACCCUAGAGUCUGCUACUGAAUUCAUGGAUUGGAUUAAGCUACAAUCAAGAACGAGUAUAGUAGCGAUAGGAGUCUGUGUGUAAGUAAAUCAAUAAAUAGACAAAACAUCUGUGGUUUGUAUA
This is a long non-coding RNA of Bos indicus x Bos taurus (hybrid cattle), 733 nucleotides long. The record is from Ensembl. Lineage: Eukaryota; Metazoa; Chordata; Mammalia; Artiodactyla; Bovidae.